Molecule: ribosomal RNA, 451 nt
Filed under: uncultured bacterium
Lineage: Bacteria
Description: partial 16S ribosomal RNA
Rfam family: Bacterial small subunit ribosomal RNA
Source: RNAcentral
AACGAACGCUGGCGGCAGGCUUAACACAUGCAAGUCGAACGGACGUAGCAAUACGUCAGUGGCAGACGGGUGAGUAACACGUGGGAAUAUCCCUCUCAGUUCGGAAUAACUCAGGGAAACUUGAGCUAAUACCGGAUACGUCCUUCGGGAGAAAGAUUUAUCGCUGAGAGAUUAGCCCGCGUCUGAUUAGCUAGUUGGUGAGGUAAUGGCUCACCAAGGCGACGAUCAGUAGCUGGUCUGAGAGGAUGAUCAGCCACACUGGGACUGAGACACGGCCCAGACUCCUACGGGAGGCAGCAGUGGGGAAUAUUGGACAAUGGGGGCAACCCUGAUCCAGCCAUGCCGCGUGAGCGAUGAAGGCCUUAGGGUUGUAAAGCUCUUUUGCCAGGGAAGAUAAUGACUGUACCUGGAGAAUAAGCCCCGGCUAACUUCGUGCCAGCAGCCGCAGUAA